Molecule: long non-coding RNA, 423 nt
Filed under: Amborella trichopoda
Lineage: Eukaryota; Viridiplantae; Streptophyta; Magnoliopsida; Amborellales; Amborellaceae
Description: long non-coding RNA (ATRI_LNC002262)
Source: RNAcentral
GGUUCAUCGCAAAACCUUUUAGAGAGAGGUACAUAGAGGUUAAUCGCUAGGGAUGGAAAGAACCCUCUAGAGAGAGAGGUACAAAGAGAAGAUGGAAGGAGAACAUUAGGGUUAGGAUUAGAAAAAGCCCCAGCACUUUAGAGAGAGAAGGCUGAGAAAGGGUACAAAGAGAGAAGAUUGAGGGAAACAGGAAGAGCAUAUCGAAGAAAAGUUGAGACAGAGAGAGGUACAAAGAGAGAAGAUUGAAGGAGACCAUUAGGGUUUGCUUUAUAAAUGGUCAUCUGAGCAUUUACUGCCAUUCAAAAUUAGCCCAAGUCAAGGAGGAAUUGCAAAGUUCAAGAAAAGUUCAAUGACUCUAUCUGCUAGCAUUUGUUGCCAUUCGACAUCCUCUGCAACCAUUGCAAUUCCAGCACCUCAAUCAAG